This 497-nucleotide ribosomal RNA is filed under the name uncultured bacterium. Its description in RNAcentral is "partial 16S ribosomal RNA". It matches the Rfam family "Bacterial small subunit ribosomal RNA", at positions 28 to 507 of the family's 1533-position model. The record is from RNAcentral.
GAUGAACGCUGGCGGCGUGCCUAAUACAUGCAAGUCGAGCGAACAGACGAGGAGCUUGCUCCUCGGACGUUAGCGGCGGACGGGUGAGUAACACGUGGAUAACCUACCUAUAAGACUGGGAUAACUUCGGGAAACCGGAGCUAAUACCGGAUAAUAUAUUGAACCGCAUGGUUCAAUAGUGAAAGACGGUUUUGCUGGCACUUAUAGAUGGAUCCGCGCCGCAUUAGCUAGUUGGUAAGGUAACGGCUUACCAAGGCGACGAUGCGUAGCCGACCUGAGAGGAUGGUCGGCCACACUGGAUCUGAGCCACGGUCCAGCCUCCUCCGGGACGCAGCAGUAGGGAAUCUUCCGCACUGGGCGAAAGCCUGACGGGGCAACGCCGCGUGAGUGAUGAAGUUCUUCGGAUCGUAAAGCUCUGUUAUUAGGGAAGAACAAAUGUGUAAGUAACUAUGCACGUCUUGACGGUACCUAAUCAGAAAGCCACGGCUAACUACGUG